Long non-coding RNA from Contarinia nasturtii (swede midge), 1169 nucleotides. RefSeq lists it as uncharacterized. NCBI's taxonomy places the organism in Eukaryota, Metazoa, Arthropoda, Insecta, Diptera, Cecidomyiidae. The transcript is spliced from 6 exons. The record is from RefSeq and is a predicted model, not a curated record.
AUGUUUCGCGUCUGUGAAUGAAAUUUGUUGUGGAUCUCGCAUGUAGAAAAGAAAAAUCUCAAACCAGAGAAGAAAAAAUUUCAAUAAAUAAAUUUUGACAUAUGUCAAGCUACGAAUUUUUUUACUAAAACUUUGGUCUUACUUCUCGGUUUCAUUUUUUUAGUUAAUUUUGGUUGAUAAAUAAAAACGGAGUGUCAAAACAAUACCUACUUUAAUAAAUUUACAAACUUUUGAGUAACGACGAAAGUAAUAAAAUUGGUGAUAUUAAUAUCAUAAGACAAAUUUUGAAAGAAAAAAAUUCAAAAACAAUGACCACAUCCAUUAAUCAAUCCUCGACAUCGUCUGGUCAAAUUGGAUUUAUAUCUACAUGUGGAACACCGCGUCGAAAAAUGAGCAAGGUAAUAUGUUUGGAUCUUGCCUCUAUAGAUGUUGAAACUCAAAUGAAAAUUAUGUGUGUCCGAUUAGGUGGAAUUGAUGAUCGAUUUGUGGAGAAAGGGCGUAUUUGAUUGAACUUAUCAAAGAAACUAAUGAUUCGUUAUCCAAGCUUAUUGAAGAAUUUGAAUCGCGUGAUACAACUGCGAAAAAUGCAUCAAAGAAAAAGCUUUCUCCAGUUAUCAAUGGUUCGCUGAAUGAUCUAACUGAUUCAAAUUCAACUUCCGAAUCGACUCUGAGUCCAGAUUCCCAUAGACCAAAGAGAUCCAAGCGCGAAUCAGAAUUCAAUACACAAAUAUCGAAAUUCACUAAAGCAGGUGGAGCGUUGAGACGAGAAGCGGUUAAAAAGAUGCAUGAUUCCAAAGGUGAUGAUUUGAUUAUAUAUUUUGAGGAGCUUAAAAAAACGAAAAGAUGUGCUCAGUCGUUUAAAGAAACAAUGUGAUGCUCUGUCUACAUUUAUUAAAAGGCGGAAUGAGGUGAAAAAUAAAGAACUUUUAUCUGAAUUGGAUAAGUUUAUUGAUGGAGUAGCUGCAACAUUAUAGAAGUGAAUCGUUGUUUUCACGCCUCGUUUUGAAAAUAAGAUCGUAAUUAGAUCUGCAUUUUCCAUUUGCCCAAAAUGUCAUAUUACAUUCUCCUUUUUGUUAUGAAAUCGACUGAAAUAAAAACUGCUCUUUCGAUAUCAAAUAAAAUCUCUGUAUUUAAACAGUGUGCCCGUGUAUAUUUGUUCGUUGUUCGUA